AUGGUGAAUGUCUCUAAAACCCUCUAGACUUUCUGUAACAUGUGUGGCAUGUGCCAAGUACCAACUUCAUGCCAAGAUCAGGAUAAGAAGGGCAAGGAUUCUCUGUGUGCCCAAGGAAAGUGGCGUUAUGAUAGGAAGCAGAGUGGCUAUCAUCAUCAUAGGCAGACUAAGCUGAUUUUCCAGAAAAAGGCUAAAACACAAAGAAGACUGUGCUGAGCUUGAAUGCGUUGAGCCCAACUGCAGAUCUAAGAGAAUGCUGGCCAUAAGAGAUGCAAGCAUUUUGAACUGGGAAGAGGUAAGAGAAAGGCCAAGUGUUGAUCUAGUUU
RNAcentral lists this long non-coding RNA (326 nucleotides) under Homo sapiens (human). RNAcentral describes it as "non-protein coding lnc-NR2E1-3:1". The record is from RNAcentral. Lineage: Eukaryota; Metazoa; Chordata; Mammalia; Primates; Hominidae.